UAAAAUAAAAAUCUUAAUAAAUAUUAAAAUAGAAACCUUAAUUAAUCCUACUCAAAAUCUAAUCAAAUUUUAGUCAAAUCCUAAUAAAAUUCUAAUCAGAUCCUAAUCAAAUCUUAAAUAAAUCGUAGUCAAAUCCUAACAAAUCCUAACCAAAUCCUAAUCAAAUCCUAAAAAAACCUUAAUCAAAUCCUAAAUAAAUCCUAACAAAUCCUAAUCAAACUCUAAUCAAACUCUAAUCAAAUCUUAAAUAAAUCUUAAUCAAAUCCUAAUCAAAUCUUAAAUAAAUCUUAAUCAAAUCCUAAACAAAUCUUAAUAAAACUCUAAACAAACCUUAAUCAAAUCUUAACCAAAUUUUAAAUAAAUCCUAAACAAAUCCUAAUCAAAUCCUAAUCAAAUCUUAAUCCAAGUCUAAAAGAAUCUCAACCAAAUUCUAACCAAAUCCUAACCAAAUCCUAAUCAAAU
Molecule: long non-coding RNA, 462 nt
Filed under: Physcomitrium patens
Lineage: Eukaryota; Viridiplantae; Streptophyta; Bryopsida; Funariales; Funariaceae
Description: long non-coding RNA (PPAT_LNC001273)
Source: RNAcentral